Molecule: non-coding RNA, 95 nt
Organism: Triticum aestivum (bread wheat)
Lineage: Eukaryota; Viridiplantae; Streptophyta; Magnoliopsida; Poales; Poaceae
Source: Rfam
GUGGACAUCAUGAUCCUUUCCCCGGAUGAUCAACAAUGAACAUGUUGAGCGCUAUAAUUUCUCUUGGGAGAAACCAAGCCAGGACUCUGAUCUGC